This 213-nucleotide long non-coding RNA is filed under the name Glycine max (soybean). RNAcentral's name for it is "long non-coding RNA (GMAX_LNC001364)". Lineage: Eukaryota; Viridiplantae; Streptophyta; Magnoliopsida; Fabales; Fabaceae. The record is from RNAcentral.
CCUAUCUCCAAAUCAUCUUCAUCGCCAAACUUCAAAUCUUCCCCAACCUAGCUCAUAGUCACAAACAAUUUCUUCUUUGAUCCACAAGGAAACCUAAACAUGCGCACAAUCGUUCACACAACCUUAACAGGAACACUACCAAACCAAAGAUGAGGAUAACUGCGCAAGGUACGUGCUAGAUUGGAACUUGACACGCGUGAGAGCCACCAUAAC